GCUUCCAGGAGUCUGUCUCCUUGUUACUCUGCUGGUUGGCUUACAGAAGUUGGGUUUGGUUUGGUUUGGUUAUUUUGUUGAACCCUGCUUUUGACGACUUUGUGUUUUUGGGUUUGUUUGUUGUGUUUGCAGGCCGGUUGGGAAUGUUUCAGAUAUGCUUUCCCUUUGUGGGGAGACCUGAACUCCCCCCUUUUCCCCUCCUCUGGGAUUAGUCCUAUGAGCAUUGCUUUAUGGGGUGUUUUUAUUUAUUUAUUUUUACGUUUUGCUUUUAAAUUUGUUUUCAAUUUGCCAAUUACCUCCCGUUCCCCUUGUUCGAUCAACAGAGACUGAACUGUGAUGCGGGGAUUAUGGAUUCAGCUCAGAUUCACACCCUUAUGUGGCCAGUGCUCCCUCUUUCUACUGAAUGCUGAAGCUUGGCCUGUGUUCUCCAUUAUCCACUCCAUUAUGAACUGAAGAAACCGCCCCCCCCAUCCUCUACAAAUGGACUAUCUACCAACAGACAGCACCGGUGGAUCAAAAGACAUCAGCCCACACCCUGGCUCUUUGUCUCACCGUAUUUGGCCUUUAGCUCCUGCAGGCUCUGGUACAGCCUCUCUCCCAGGGGUCCGAACAUGGACAGCAGUGUUUCGCGGGAGAGCUGGCACAGAAUGGGGCCGUCCAUCGAGCAACUGGACAUGGUCAGCGUGCUGGCGUCAAACUUGCUCUCUUCGACGUGGUAGCUGAUCCACUCCAGAACAUUCUGUUUGGACCAGAACUGGGGGGCCGACUGGUACCAUUUAAGGGGCCCUAAAAAAAGAUAGAUCUGAAUAUCAGUAAUGCACACAACUGUUUUUUUUUUUUCUUCUACAAGCAUGUAUGGAUGUUAAAAUAACGGGUUCACUAAGGGCAACUUGUGUAUAUUUGUGGAACUAGAUUUAUUUAUCUCAGUCCUAGUGGAAGUGCCGUUUCACAGUUCAACAUGGUAUCUAAGGCAUGAUCAGAUCCCCUGGCUGCCCUGUCAAAAGUUCACCAACAACAACUACAGAGGCAAACAGCAAUUGAUGGGCACCAUUACACCGACUGUGGGUCUAGGCAUUGAUCCAGCGCGGAGAACAAUGAUGCAGCCAGUCCCCUCCCACGGCUUGUUUGCUCAGGCAUGUUAAAGUCAGGUCCUGCGGUUUAUGGUUUCGGUGAAAUGGAAUGCGUGGCCGCACGCUUAUCUCCUCCCGUGGUCAGAGGCUGUUAACCUAGUUGCAGGGCUGACACCCGGUCGGGUCUCGUCACGCCAGCGUCUUAUCGGAUAGGCGAGUUAAACAUAGUUCGAAGGCUUUGUUUUAAAAACGACAAAAAAAAAAUCGCCCGCGUUCCCGGUCGUGAUGGAGAUGAGGGCGGUUUAGAUAUUUUCCGACCAGGUUAAUGAUUACAAAACAGACAAGAUCGUUACAAAGAUCAGCUGGCCACCUGAAUUUUUCUGAUUACAUUACAUUUAUUAUUAUCUUACAUGUGUGUGUGUUAGAAAACAACCCCACAGAUUUGGACAUUGGAUAGCAAGCAGUAAACCGUCUAAAGUAGUUAACAUGGUGACUGAACCUACUUGUAGUCACACCAUAAGUAUGCUUGCUGAUUGUGUCGUACAAAUGAGUUGGGGAGUGUGAAUAUUGCACGGUAUAUUCAACGCAGCAAUCUGAAGAAAAUUUUGAUUUUGUGAGUUCUCUUACCCAGGAAAUCAGUAGCAAAUUGUAAGUUGGCCAUCUGUGGAUCCCUCAUGACUGGAAGAGCCGUGGCUGGUGGAGCCAGUGGAUGCUCCAUUGCACCAAUCUGGUACAUCGUCCAGUUGGCAUCAGUCAGGAUGCUGCUGAGAUCAUUGGAUGCCGACAUCAGAUCUGUUUGUCAAAAUACGAAACGUACAUGAGUCUUUAAAAAUGUGAAAUACAUUUUAUUCCAAGAUAUAGAACAUAUAUCGUAUAAUGAUGAUGAAAUUUGGGUGGUGGAACUGUUCUUGCAACUGUUGCCUAUUUUUUUUUUUUUUUUUUGCGUUAUUCUCAAAAAACAGUGAAACCUGCUGUCAUGUUAAUAAAGUACACAUUUUGCAUACACUACAA
Molecule: long non-coding RNA, 2081 nt
Organism: Anguilla rostrata (American eel)
Lineage: Eukaryota; Metazoa; Chordata; Actinopteri; Anguilliformes; Anguillidae
Exons: 3
Source: RefSeq, a predicted model, not a curated record